This 497-nucleotide ribosomal RNA is filed under the name uncultured bacterium. RNAcentral's name for it is "partial 16S ribosomal RNA". It matches the Rfam family "Bacterial small subunit ribosomal RNA", at positions 28 to 507 of the family's 1533-position model. The record is from RNAcentral.
GAUGAACGCUGGCGGCGUGCCUAAUACAUGCAAGUCGAGCGAAAACACAAGGAGCUCGCUCCUCUAACGUUAGCGACUGACGGGUGAGUAACGCGUGCAUCACCUACCUCUAAUUCUGGGAUGACUUCGGGAAGCCGCUGCUGAUACUGGCUAAUAUAUCUAACCGCAUGGUUCAAUAGUUCAUGACAGCUUUCGUGUUUCUUUUAGAUGGUUCCGGGCCGGAUUAGCUAGUUGGUAAGGUAACGGCUUACCAAGGCUACGAUGCGUAGCUGACCUGAGAGGAUGAUCGGCCACACUGGAACUGAGACACGGUCCAGACUCCUACGGGAGGCAGCAGUGGGGAAUCUUCCGCAAUGGGCGAAAGCCUGACGGAGCAAUGCCGCGUGAGUGAUGAAGGUCUUCGGGUUGUAAAGCUCUUUUAUUAGGAAAGAACAAAAGUGUAAUAAACUCUCCACGUCCUGACGGUACCUAAUCAGAAAGCCCCGGCUAACUACGUG